UGUCACAGUUAGCGAGAUGGACGGUCAAACAUAAAGGCCUCUGACAGAGAUUGGGUGCCUUAGUUCAAACCGGGGGACACCUUUAGAGGCCCUCCGUUCUGCACCCAGAUGCUGAAAUGUGAACCGCAGUGUUACAUCGCGGGCAGCAGCACAGGGAGGCCAAAAGUGACACGCAAUGCCAGUCAGGUGACAGCAUGUCCAGGGAGAUCAACUACCGCCUGGCUUGACAUUUCUAAGAGCACUUUGAUCAGAAAGUAUACAUGCAAGGCUACUGUUGGUCUCUUUACUCACGCACAAUGGUGAACACUAGUGAGCUGUGAACAGACAGUUGUGUCAAAAAAAUUUGAGAAGAAAGGAAGCAUUACGGAUCCGACGGAAAAAGGCGGCUAAUGGCUGUGGUCGGCCUGUCUGCUUGAAUUUACAGUGACAGCCCUGGCCCUAUUUGUUUGCAUUGGUGCUUCAGUGGGCACACUUCGUUGUGGCUUCAGCAGUUAAUAAAUCACAGUGGAAGCCCCCUCUCUCGACGCCGGCCUGUGCUACGGUGGUCCUGUCACAAGGCAGGCACCAGCGCUGAAGCGACAGCUACAUGCUAAUUCAACAUCGGCAUAAUUCAUUAUACAGUCGCAAGUGUACUGGAAUGGAAAGAGAACCAACAUACACCAGGAGGAAGACGACAGGCAUCAAACUGUUAAAUCCUGCUCCCCUUAAGUCCCCUCUGUUUGCCUUUGUAAAGUCUUUAAACUCCUGCCAGCAAUAUAAAAUUAUACCACAUAUUAUCUAUGCACAGAAAAAGCUUUGGGAUGUGUAAAGAAUAAAAUAUUAUUUUUUACUGCAGUUA
Molecule: long non-coding RNA, 838 nt
Organism: Micropterus dolomieu (smallmouth bass)
Lineage: Eukaryota; Metazoa; Chordata; Actinopteri; Centrarchiformes; Centrarchidae
Exons: 3
Source: RefSeq, a predicted model, not a curated record